CAAAGAUUAAGCCAUGCAUGUCUAAGUACUAGCAUUAAUACUGUGAAACUGCGAAUGGCUCAUUAAAUCAGUUUUGAUCUACUUGGCAUUCUAACUGCUUUGCUGCUGGAUAACCGCGGUAAUUCUGGAGCUAAUACAUGUGUAUAUAACGGUGUAUGCCGUUGCGUAUAUUAGAUAAAAACCAACCUGGGGUAAAACCYAGUCUUUGGUCGCUCAUAGUAUCCUUGCCGGUCUUCAGUUUAAUCUGGAGCCAGUUCAUUCGAUAUUCUGCCCUAUCAUUGCUUUUGAUUGCACGAUCGAGGCGUGCAAUGGCUUCUACGGGUAACGGGGAAUAAGGGUUCGAUUUCCGGAGGAGGGAGCCUGAGAAACGGCUACCACAUCCAAGGAAGGGCAAGCAGGGCGCGCAAAUUACCCAAUCCCGACACGGGGAGGUAGUGACAAUAAAUAACAAUGCAGGGCUUUUAUAGUCUUGCAAUUGGAAUGAGUACAAUUUAAAUCCUUUAACGAGGAUCAAUUGGAGGGCAAGUCUGGUGCCAGCAGCCGCGGUAAUUCCAGCUCCAAUAGCGUAUACUAAAGUUGUUGCAGUUAAAACGCCCGCAGUCGAACUUUAGUCUAUGGGCAGGUGUCCUAGCAUUCAGUUGUUUGGGUUCAUUUUGUCCGAGACUUUUGACUGGAUCUCCCUUGUCCUCGGACUUGGGGUCGAACCAGUCGAUUACCAUGAGCAAAUCAGAGUGUUUAAAGCAGGCUUUCAAGCUUGAAUGUGUUAGCAUGGAAUAAUGAAAUAUGACAUUUGGUCUAUUUUUCGUUGGUUCAAGACCAAAGUAAUGAUGAAUAGGAGUGGUCGGGGGGCAUUUGUAUUUUGGACGCUAGAGGUGAAAUUCUUGGAUUGUCCAAAGACAAACUACUGCGAAAGCAUUUGCCAAGGACGCUUCCGUUGAUCAGGGGCUAAGGUUAGGGGAUCGAAGACGAUUAGAUACCGUCGUAGUCUUAACAGCAAACUAUGCCGACUAGGGAUUGGACUUGA
RNAcentral lists this ribosomal RNA (1024 nucleotides) under Thamnostylum lucknowense. RNAcentral describes it as "SSU rRNA". It matches the Rfam family "Eukaryotic small subunit ribosomal RNA", at positions 38 to 1073 of the family's 1831-position model. The record is from RNAcentral. Lineage: Eukaryota; Fungi; Mucoromycota; Mucoromycetes; Mucorales; Lichtheimiaceae.